GAGAUCUCAAAUUUGAAAUCUGGUACCCUUCGGUGCCCGAGUUGUAAUUUGGAGAGAGCGAUUCUGGGGCUGGCGCUUGCCUAUGUUCCUUGGAACAGGACGUCAUAGAGGGUGAGAACCCCGUGAGGCGAGAUGUACCAGUUCUUUGUAGAGCGCUCUCGAAGAGUCGAGUUGUUUGGGAAUGCAGCUCUAAGAGGGUGGUAAAUUCCAUCUAAAGCUAAAUACAGGCGAGAGACCGAUAGCGAACAAGUACAGUGAUGGAAAGAUGAAAAGAACUUUGAAAAGAGAGUGAAAAAGGACGUGAAAUUGUUGAAAGGGAAGGGCAUUUGAUCAGACAUGGUGUUUUGUGCCCCUCGCUCCUCGUGGGUGGGGGAAUCUCGCAGCUCACUGGGCCAGCAUCAGUUUUGGUGGCAGGAGAAAGCCUUGGGAAUGUGGCUCUUGCCUUUUUUGGCGGGGGUGUUAUAGCCCGAGGGGAAUACUGCC
Molecule: ribosomal RNA, 483 nt
Filed under: Zygosaccharomyces mellis
Lineage: Eukaryota; Fungi; Ascomycota; Saccharomycetes; Saccharomycetales; Saccharomycetaceae
Description: LSU rRNA
Rfam family: Eukaryotic large subunit ribosomal RNA
Source: RNAcentral